Molecule: ribosomal RNA, 305 nt
Filed under: uncultured Haplosporidia
Lineage: Eukaryota; Endomyxa; Ascetosporea; Haplosporida
Description: bacterial SSU rRNA
Rfam family: Eukaryotic small subunit ribosomal RNA
Source: RNAcentral
UGGUGGUGCAUGGCCGUUCGUAGUUGGUGGAGUGAUUUGUCUGGUUAAUUCCGAUAACGAACGAGACCUCAGCCAUUUAACUAGCUGUGGCUAAAAAAUUAGCUGUCAUAAAGCGUGAGAUCAGCUUCUUAAAGGGACUAUCUGUUUCAGCAGAAGGAAGAUUGAGGCAAUAACAGGUCAGUGAUGCCCUUAGAUGCUCUGGGCUGCACGCGGGCUACAAUGUCGCAUCCAGCGAGUUGUCCGAGUCUGAGAAGGCGAGGCAAUCUCCAAAGUGCGUCUAAGUUGGGAUAGAUGAUUGCAAUUAU